This 253-nucleotide ribosomal RNA is filed under the name uncultured bacterium. RNAcentral's name for it is "partial 16S ribosomal RNA". It matches the Rfam family "Bacterial small subunit ribosomal RNA", at positions 524 to 776 of the family's 1533-position model. The record is from RNAcentral.
UACGUAGGGCGCAAGCGUUGUCCGGAAUUAUUGGGCGUAAAGAGCUCGUAGGUGGCGUGUCGCGUCUGCUGUGAAAUCCCGGGGCUUAACCCCGGGCGUGCAGUGGAUACGGGCUGGCUGGAGGCAGGCAGGGGAGAAUGGAAUUCCCGGUGUAGCGGUGAAAUGCGCAGAUAUCGGGAGGAACACCGGUGGCGAAGGCGGUUCUCUGGGCCUGUGCUGACGCUGAGGAGCGAAAGCGUGGGGAGCGAACAGG